Long non-coding RNA from Aedes albopictus (Asian tiger mosquito), 3133 nucleotides. RefSeq lists it as uncharacterized. The transcript is spliced from 4 exons. Lineage: Eukaryota; Metazoa; Arthropoda; Insecta; Diptera; Culicidae. The record is from RefSeq and is a predicted model, not a curated record.
AUAAGCAAUAUCACCAAUCUACUGAAUUAUCAAAAAGAAAAUUUCGAUGAAACUUAUAAGUUAACGUUAUCUAAGAUUAAUUUUGAGCCCCCUUAAUUAUUAUAAAAUUAUAAAAGAUGGCACGCUUUUAAAUAGUUUGCGAAAAACAUUUUCAGUGUUACCAGAAAAACUUCAGAAGGUUUCCAAAUGACAAUCAUCAGUAUCACAGAAGCAAAAUCUCACCAACGAAAUAACUCUUAUUUUUCAGGUAACGAAGUCAACGCCAUGCGAUACUUUUGUACCGAUAAGGGAGUCCAAAAAUUGGAAUACGAGGGAUACCACUUCUGCAAACGAAGGACAAAGAAGCACUGCAUCCGUUGGUAUUGCACUAUGUGGCGUAGGAUGAAACGCACGGCAAGGGUUACAACAAUCACUUCUAAUGGAGCAGUAUUGCAGUUUUGUAAUGAUCACAACCAUCCACCGACGGCGGAAUGUCCUAAAAUAAGCCACAAGCGCAAGCGCAAAUCUUAAAACUUCUAUCGCGAAUGCCAUCUGAUUUCUAAUAUGCUCGAAACAGGAUCCUUGAAUUCAAAAUUACAGAUUCAAGAUUCUUGAAUGUGAUAUGUAUUAGCUGUAUUGACGCCAUAUUUUUUGUUUAAUAUAAGAUCUCCAAAAACCAUAAAGAAUGAAGUCGUAAUACUACUUUACAACCUUGAUAACAGUAGGAAUGAUGCAAAAAUGUAGUCUAAAGGAAAAAUGUUAAGCAUUAAUAAGUAUUAUGCAAUUGUUUUGGAUGACAAUCAAUUCUUGAUGAUUUUUUCUGUUGGAUGAAACCACCUCAUUCUGUAUUUUGUUUGUUGUCGUUAUGUUUCAGUAGGUACUCGAAAAUAACCAAAAAAAUAAAUUUGGCAACUCUGAAAAUAUACUGCCUGCAAAAUGUUAUGGUUUAUCAUUUAGAAAAUUUGCGAAUUUUGUUCCAUAUUUCUCAACACAAAAUUGAGAUUUUUUAGGUGUCGUAAUGAAUGAAUUCUAUUGCUGAGAAUUAAUUUUCAGAGCUGCCAGAAUUUUUUUUUGUACAAAAGUGGCAUGAAACAAUAUGUAAAUGUCCUAUUUUAUAACGCUCCCAACGUUUUUUUUAGACAUUUCAUUCGUCAUGAGCUGCCGGGGAAAAACUCAACUUAGCGUAAACGGUCACCUCUACACUUGUGACAAGACAACCGAUGACGCCAUGUACUGGUGUUGCAAUCAGCGCCGUGUUCUUGGCUGUACUGCUCGUGCUAAUACUGGACGUCGAAAGGAAGGACAACAGCCAACUAUCAAACUGCGCGGCUUUCACAAUCACAGAAUCAUCGCAGAACGACGCCGACCCGGGGAAUAUGCCAGGCUGAAGGAGCAGUACGACCGUGAACGAAAAGUGUUGCCAGAUGUGGAGCCUUGUCGUCCUGCCCUUUCCCGAUCGAAAAAGAAGCAAAACUGAAUCAAUUUUCUGUGUGUUAUCUUGAAAUUCUAGUACUACAAUUGUGACCGUGGCUAUGUUUCAAGAUGUCCAGGUCACUAAUAUAUGUACACUGACAAAUUUAUGAUUUGUUUUUCUUGUGAUGCGUGUCUUGUAUCAACCAAUCGAAAACAUUAUCUAAUAAGCAAUUAUCUAAUAAACAUUGCAGAUAUUUCAUUCGUCAUAAGCGCACGUGGCAAAACUCAGCUGAACGUUAACGCAUAUCUCUAUACGCGUGGCAAACUACACGGCGACUUUCAGUACUGGUCAUGUAAUCAGUACAGGGUUUUAAGUUGCACAGCUCGUGCUUCGACGGUCCGCUGCAAACAGGGCGAGAAACCAACCAUAAAACUGCGUGGUUUCCACAACCAUCCGAUUAUAGUGGACCGACGUCGGCCCGGAGAGUGCGCACGAUUGAAAGAGCUGUACGCUCCUGCAGCGAGGCAAGUGUUGCCAGACAGAAGGAAAUGUCAGCAGCUCCCCAAGCAGCAGGUGCCACUGCCGCCGAUCGAACAGUGUUUUGUGAAAGAAGAGAAAUAACGCACCCGUUGUCGGGGAUAAGAAUGGAGGAUGUCGUAGGAUUAGUGCAAUGCUUGCUCUAGUACUGCAUCUGAUGUAGUCUGGCAUUGGGCAUAUCAUUUGAAUAAUUCUCUCUGAAACGCAAAACAUCAUUCAAGGAAUUUAUCAGAAUAACACGGAUAGUUUUAAUGUAGCACUUAAAAACAAGAUUCUACAAUUAAGCUUUGAAAUUCUCCAAUUGGGGCUCCAGUUGUCCUAGUGGACAAGACUUCGGGAAUGCAAUGGCAGGUAAAAAUCCUUCUAUUAUUUCUGGAAGUGUUAAAGGGACACACAGUUGAUAAAGAAGCAAGUCAAGUGCUACUGGUUACGUAGGGUCUGAAAAAAUGUUUUGAAAUAAAACAGUGAAAAAAUUUUAAGGAUACAUGAAGUUGGAAUGUAAGAGAAGAGCCACCAACCCAGAGAAUUCUGCUGAACUAUCAUUUACCAUAAUAUUCCUACUUCAAUGACAGUUGCUCUAUACUGCAGUCAAUGUCCAUGUCAAGGCAUUAUAAACCAAUAUUUAGAGAAUGUUCUUCAACUUCUCCAAAACCCCCUUCCAUUUUCAGAAUCCAUGGCACACCGAGCAACGCAACUCAAGGCUACCCUGCGUCAACUGAAACGGGGUCAGAACCGCCGACAAUCGCCAACUCGCUCGGAAAGGAUCCGCCAGGUGCAGUGGCUGAUCCGCCAGCUGGAUAGUCAGUUUCGCCAGAUGUCCGACCAAGAUUUGAAAAAGCCCGUAAGAGUUAACGGUUUCACGUUUCCCCUGUCCUGCGAGGAGGACAUCGAGUGCCUCGAACUGAUGGUGCAGCGAAAUCCGAGCAUUCGUGAGCAGUUUGUUAACUAUCUGUGCAAGCGGAAAUCAUUUAGUGAUACGGUCGUGGAAUGUUUUAGGAUUUUUUCACCGAUGAGGCCAUGUUGCGGUACAACUGCAGAGGGCUCGAUCGCGAUCAGUGCCCGCGAAAGGCUAUGAUGAACUACAGCAUCUUUACAGAUUGUAUGGUCGGUAUGUUUAAGAUGUGUUUUUUUUUUCGGUGAAAUUGAUAUUCUAACAAGCUUUUUUUGCCAUAGAUGCUUGGAGUUCUCACGGAGUGCUAAUGG